RNAcentral lists this long non-coding RNA (222 nucleotides) under Nicotiana benthamiana. RNAcentral's name for it is "long non-coding RNA (NBEN_LNC042664)". The record is from RNAcentral. Lineage: Eukaryota; Viridiplantae; Streptophyta; Magnoliopsida; Solanales; Solanaceae.
UGCAUAUAUCGAGCGAUUGUGUACCAAUCGGUAACAAUUAUACUGGUUUUGGCAGAGCUACACUAGUAGAUGUGCGCUCGACUUUAGAGGAAGCUCAACGGCUCUACUCUAUGGUGAGUUUUGGCCGAUCGUAUUAGUUCUUUAGUUUUUGCAGCUUUUGCUCUCUUAUCGAGUUUCUCAUUCACAGUCUUUUGACAAGGUCAAGUCUGAGCUGAUUUGUCG